GAUGAAGAACGUAGCGAAAUGCGAUACUUGGUGUGAAUUGCAGAAUCCCGUGAACCAUCGAGUCUUUGAACGCAAGUUGCGCCCGAAGCCAUUAGGCCGAGGGCACGCCUGCCUGGGCGUCACACGUCGUUGCCCCCCCAUCUACUCCUUCGGGAUUGCGGGGGGCGGAUGAUGGCCACCCGUGCGCCUCGUCGCGCGGUUGGCAUAAAUACCAAGUCCUCGGCGACGCACGCCACGACAAUCGGUGGUUGCGAAACCUCGGUUGCCCGUCGUGUGCGGUCGUCGCGCAUCGAGGGCUCGAAAAAAUUGCCGGGCUCCGGCUCGGCUUUCAACGCGACCCCAGGUCAGGCGGGGUUACCCGCUGAAUUUAAGCAUAUCAAUAAGCGGAGGA
This 391-nucleotide unclassified non-coding RNA is filed under the name soil metagenome. RNAcentral's name for it is "partial contains 5.8S ribosomal RNA, internal transcribed spacer 2, and large subunit ribosomal RNA". The stretch from base 1 to 122 matches the Rfam family "5.8S ribosomal RNA", at positions 35 to 154 of the family's 154-position model. The record is from RNAcentral.